GACGAACGCUGGCGGCGUGCCUAAUACAUGCAAGUAGAACGCACAGUUUAUACCGUAGCUUGCUACACCAUAGACUGUGAGUUGCGAACGGGUGAGUAACGCGUAGGUAACCUGCCUGGUAGCGGGGGAUAACUAUUGGAAACGAUAGCUAAUACCGCAUAAUAUUAAUUAUUGCAUGAUAAUUAAUUGAAAGGUGCAAUUGCACCACUACCAGAUGGACCUGCGUUGUAUUAGCUAGUAGGUGAGGUAACGGCUCACCUAGGCGACGAUACAUAGCCGACCUGAGAGGGUGAUCGGCCAAACUGGGACUGAGACACGGCCCAGACUCCUACGGGAGGCAGCAGGAGGGAAUCUUCGGCAAUGGACGAAAGUCUGACCGAGCAACGCCGCGUGAGUGAAGAAGGUUUUCGGAUCGUAAAGCUCUGUUGUAAGAGAAGAACGGGUGUGAGAGUGGAAAGUUCACACUGUGACGGUAUCUUACCAGAAAGGGACGGCUAACUACGUG
RNAcentral lists this ribosomal RNA (505 nucleotides) under uncultured bacterium. Its description in RNAcentral is "partial 16S ribosomal RNA". It matches the Rfam family "Bacterial small subunit ribosomal RNA", at positions 28 to 507 of the family's 1533-position model. The record is from RNAcentral.